GCUGUUUAGUAUGACCGAGCUAAAGAGGUGUAGUGAGCCAGCGCCACCAUGUGACGAGCGCGCGGAGCGAACUUUGACACGAAUUACCCUUUGACACGAAUCGACACGACAACCUACCCGAUUUGUUUACGUCCUAUUUUCUAGCUACCUUAGCUGACAUUUCUGAAUAUUUUGCCAUUCCUAACAGUAACAAUGGGUUCUGCCAGUCAUGCUAGUCAAAGCGAGAGGAUGAUGAAGAGAAUAAGAAAAGACAAAAGCUGGAGGCGGACCAGCGUGGUGUUCGGAUGAGGGGGUCACUGAGUGCAUUAUUAUAUAUGCAUAGUUAUGAGGCAGGUCAUCACGUCACUACCAGUCAUCAAACUCCUCUGGGAACAUGGCAAGGAACUCAAGUAGAUGACAAGGAAAAGGAAGAGCUAAAAGAUGAGGUUUUUAAAAGGCUGUCAGAUGAAGUGAAUGUACUGAAUUAAGACACAAGAAAAGCAACACACCUGGUCUACAGGUAACAUAAAAGAAAAUGACAGAAACACUAAAUUUUACACUGGCCUACCAAACUGGGUCACAUUUGUAUGGCUGUUUAAGCUGUUGUUACCAUUCACUCAAAGGAUGAGAUAUAAUGGGUCUGGGUAUAAUGGUAUAUAAUGGGUAUAAAGAAACCGAUGGAGUUAGAAGACUCAUGGCAUUCCAUCUUCAAAAUCAACCUAUGGCCACUUUAAUGAGACUGAAGGUUGAAUUGCUUUUCACAGACCUCUCAGACCGUUUUAACAUGUCUGUGUCUCAUGAUACAUGUAUGUCACGUAUAGUCGCCACCUGGAUCUUUCUAAUGGAAAUGUGGUGAUGUCUCACAUUUGUUUUUAAUGAAUAAAUGAUAAUUUAUGAAAAUGGUAAAGUAAACAAAUAUACAGGUCCUACAGUUUCUGUGCAUUCAUACAGACAUGAACAUGUAUUUCUUGCCAUCGAAUUUGCAUAAUACGAUAAACUACACUGAGAUGUUCACUGUUUUAGGGUACAUGUCUAUGGCCUUUUAUAAAUUGCUUCUGAUAAAAAAAAUAUGACUUAAUGAACCUUAAAUACAUAAAUAUAUCAAAAUAUUAUAUGAUGUACAGAUCUGGCCUAGCAGUUCAUGUAGCAUAAAAGCUGGUCUGGCAAUAAAUAUUUCAUUAAUCCAUCACCUCUGUUAAUUCUUUGAAAAAAAUAAAUCAUGUUCUGUAAAAUCAACAAAAUCACAAUAUGUGUAGUUUGAAAAUUUAAUAUGUAUCUGAUGUGGUUGAAUAAACUCUGAAAUUCCUACAACA
Molecule: long non-coding RNA, 1292 nt
Organism: Patiria miniata (bat star)
Lineage: Eukaryota; Metazoa; Echinodermata; Asteroidea; Valvatida; Asterinidae
Exons: 3
Source: RefSeq, a predicted model, not a curated record